Molecule: long non-coding RNA, 759 nt
Organism: Meriones unguiculatus (Mongolian gerbil)
Lineage: Eukaryota; Metazoa; Chordata; Mammalia; Rodentia; Muridae
Exons: 2
Source: RefSeq, a predicted model, not a curated record
UUGGCCUGCCAGGGCUGGGUCCUUGCAGAGUACCCUAGGUCCUACAGCCAGCCUGAGUCUGAAGAGAAUAGCAGAGGCCCUACAGAGGGGCUGCUGCAGGCAGUCACUCGAAGAAGAACAUUCCCGGUGUCCGGUGGCCAGCUGUGCCAGAGCCCAGCAGACAAAGAUGAACUCCCAGAGUGCGGUGGGGUGCUCUGGCCAGGAUUCUGUGGGUGAAGGCAGUCUCCAGUAGAGGAGCAAUCUUGCUCCACCACCCCGAUUCUCCUAGCCCACCCGGACAUGGCCUCCUUUUUGUUUCAUCUUUCUGAGACUAUCCUGCUAUGUUACACGGUGGUCUCUGAUUCCUGGACUCCAGCACCCCGCAGCCUCAGCACCAGCUACCUGGUGGGACCACUAAGGGCCCAGCUGUCAGGCUUUUCUCUGGACCUGGACGGUGGAAGCUGGACAGGGAAAGUGCUUCUCAAACCCAUUCCUGUCUCAAUUGGGAGGCAAUGAGUGGCUUCAAAGGCGUACAGGUGACCUCCAUGCUGGACCCUAGAGAAGCCCAGGGACCAGAAUGCUGGCCAGUCCCCACUCUCACUCCCAUGCAGACACUUCACAGGCUGCGCCUGUCCCUUCACCUUUUGGAAUUGCCAAAAUGAGUGACUGUUCACCCUCGUGCUGGCCUGGCUGAAUCCUUCCCAGUUGGGUCUCAGGACCUUUGAUUGCUGCUGUUAAUUACCUGUCAUUAAAUACCUGGCUCUGUGGCCCCACCAGGAA